This 726-nucleotide unclassified non-coding RNA is filed under the name uncultured Frankia sp. Its description in RNAcentral is "partial contains 16S-23S ribosomal RNA intergenic spacer and 23S ribosomal RNA". The stretch from base 595 to 726 matches the Rfam family "Bacterial large subunit ribosomal RNA", at positions 1052 to 1183 of the family's 2925-position model. Lineage: Bacteria; Bacillati; Actinomycetota; Actinomycetes; Frankiales; Frankiaceae. The record is from RNAcentral.
CACUACUCCCCCUGUGGUCGUCCGUUGCCCUCCCGACCACGUCGGGCGUAUUGAGUCGCGUCGUCUACGACCGACGACGGAGUAGAUCCUACCCAGUCGACCGUAGGUUAGAAGCGCGUAGUAAGAGCGCGUGGACGGACCGAACCUACUACUAGUUAGAAAUGGGAGGGUAUAGAGCUGGUAGGGGUAGGGUAGGAACGGACCUACUACUAAACCGUUCCGUAGAAGUAGCGUUGGUUUCCCGUAACCCCGUAAAUCGACUUAAGUUUUAGGGUCGACGAGGCCGUACCGACCGGUUUGUUUUUCCCCGUUACCCCGGGGUAAGGGUUAAGGACGUACCUUACGGUAGGUAGUACGGGGAACGUAGGUCCGGGGUACCCCUAACGGUAAACGGGUUUACGUACGUUACCUUACGACGAACCCUAAACCGUACCGUAAUCCGGGGAACCGGGGUAAGGUAGGAAGGACGGCGGGUCGGACGUAGGUGGAACGACUUGGGGGUAGGGGGUAAAUAACGUCCUUACAAGUUACGGUCGAGGGAAACGGGAAACACCGCCAACGACCCGUAACGGGUUACCCGACCCUAAGCGUGUCGACUAGGGUAAGGGGAAAGGAUGGUGGUAGUCGCUGGGACAACCCAGGGAGGUUUGGCUUAGAAGCAGCCACCCUUGAAAGAGUGCGUAAUAGCUCACUGGUCAAGUGAUUCCGCGCCGGUCGACGCGGCCG